This 253-nucleotide ribosomal RNA is filed under the name uncultured bacterium. RNAcentral describes it as "partial 16S ribosomal RNA". It matches the Rfam family "Bacterial small subunit ribosomal RNA", at positions 524 to 776 of the family's 1533-position model. The record is from RNAcentral.
UACGUAGGGUGCAAGCGUUGUCCGGAAUUAUUGGGCGUAAAGAGCUCGUAGGCGGUUUGUCGCGUCUGCUGUGAAAACUCAGGGCUUAACCCUGAGCCUGCAGUGGGUACGGGCAGACUAGAGUGAUGUAGGGGAGACUGGAAUUCCUGGUGUAGCGGUGAAAUGCGCAGAUAUCAGGAGGAACACCGGUGGCGAAGGCGGGUCUCUGGGCCGAUAUUGACGCUGAGGAGCGAAAGCGUGGGGAGCGAACAGG